GGCUCAGGAUGAACGCUAGCGGCAGGCCUAAUACAUGCAAGUCGGACGGGAUCCAUCGGUAGCUUGCUACCGAUGGUGAGAGUGGCGCACGGGUGCGUAACGCGUGAGCAACCUGCCCAUAUCAGGGGGAUAGCCCGGAGAAAUCCGGAUUAACACCGCAUGACACUGCUUUCCGGCAUCGGGAGGCAGUCAAAUAUUCAUAGGAUAUGGAUGGGCUCGCGUGACAUUAGCUAGUUGGUGGGGUAACGGCCCACCAAGGCGACGAUGUCUAGGGGCUCUGAGAGGAGAAUCCCCCACACUGGUACUGAGACACGGACCAGACUCCUACGGGAGGCAGCAGUAAGGAAUAUUGGUCAAUGGGGGCAACCCUGAACCAGCCAUGCCGCGUGCAGGACGACUGCCCUAUGGGUUGUAAACUGCUUUUGUUAGGGAAUAAACCCCACUACGUGUAGUGGGCUGAAUGUACCUAAAGAAUAAGGAUCGGCUAACUCCGUGCCAGCAGCCGCGGUAAU
This 512-nucleotide ribosomal RNA is filed under the name uncultured bacterium. RNAcentral's name for it is "bacterial SSU rRNA". It matches the Rfam family "Bacterial small subunit ribosomal RNA", at positions 21 to 524 of the family's 1533-position model. The record is from RNAcentral.